Molecule: long non-coding RNA, 300 nt
Organism: Astatotilapia calliptera (eastern happy)
Lineage: Eukaryota; Metazoa; Chordata; Actinopteri; Cichliformes; Cichlidae
Source: Ensembl
GUUUAUAUCUCCGGGGACGAGAUUAUUCUCUUUUUUUUUCUCUUGCUGCCUUCAUCGCUUUAUCAUCCACGCCCCCUCCUUUGCUUCACUACAGCGAAUAAUUGCAGAAACCGGACCGUAAAUCUCCGGGAGUGCAGAACAGGACAACCGCUUAACUUAUCCCCUCUUGACUUUCCGUUCUACGUGUUUGAAGUGACUGCAACAGAGAGGCCUUCAGCUUUUGACUCAUCUGAGAAUGCAUGACGUAACCGAAGGUCACGUAGCCCUGUGCGGCCAACGCCAAGAUUCCUUCCACUUGGU